This 492-nucleotide ribosomal RNA is filed under the name uncultured bacterium. Its description in RNAcentral is "partial 16S ribosomal RNA". It matches the Rfam family "Bacterial small subunit ribosomal RNA", at positions 28 to 507 of the family's 1533-position model. The record is from RNAcentral.
GAUGAACGCUAGCUACAGGCUUAACACAUGCAAGUCGAGGGGAAACGGCAUCGAAAGCUUGCUUUUGAUGGGCGUCGACCGGCGCACGGGUGAGUAACGCGUAUCCAACCUGCCCAUCACUUGGGAAUAACCUUGCGAAAGUAAGACUAAUGCCCAAUGACAUCCCACGAAGGCAUCCGAAUGGGAUUAAAGAUUUAUCGGUGAUGGAUGGGGAUGCGUCUGAUUAGCUUGUUGGCGGGGUGACGGCCCACCAAGGCAACGAUCAGUAGGGGUUCUGAGAGGAAGGUCCCCCACAUUGGAACUGAGACAAGGUCCAAACUCCUACGGGAGGCAGCAGUGAGGAAUAUUGGUCAAUGGGCGAGAGCCUGAACCAGCCAAGUAGCGUGCAGGAUGACGGCCCUAUGGGUUGUAAACUGCUUUUAUAAGGGAAUAAAGUGGGUCACGUGUGACUUUUUGCAUGUACCUUAUGAAUAAGGACCGGCUAAUUCCGUG